GGACGAACGCUGGCGGCGUGCUUAACACAUGCAAGUCGAACGAGGUCCACCCAGUGGCAACACUGGUGAAGACCUAGUGGCGAACGGGUGAGUAACACGUGAGGAACCUGCCCCGAAGUCCGGGAUAAGCCCCCGAAAGGGGGUCUAAUACCGGAUGUCCUCGACCGAUCGCAUGUUUGGUCGAGGAAAGGAUUUCGCUUCGGGAGGGCCUCGCGGCCUAUCAGCUUGUUGGUGAGGUAACGGCUCACCAAGGCGACGACGGGUAGCUGGUCUGAGAGGACGAUCAGCCACACUGGGACUGAGACACGGCCCAGACU
This 317-nucleotide ribosomal RNA is filed under the name uncultured bacterium. RNAcentral's name for it is "bacterial SSU rRNA". It matches the Rfam family "Bacterial small subunit ribosomal RNA", at positions 27 to 337 of the family's 1533-position model. The record is from RNAcentral.